RNAcentral lists this ribosomal RNA (119 nucleotides) under Triticum aestivum (bread wheat). The record is from RNAcentral. Lineage: Eukaryota; Viridiplantae; Streptophyta; Magnoliopsida; Poales; Poaceae.
GGAUGCCAUCAUACCAGCACUAAAGCAUCGGAUCCCAUCAGAACUCCGAAGUUAAGUGUGCUUUGGCGAGAGUAGUACUAGGAUGGGUGACCUUCUGGGAAGUCCUUGUGUUGCAUUCC